GACGUAGGGCGCGAGCGUUGUCCGGAAUUACUGGGCGUAAAGGGCUCGUAGGCGGCCAACUAAGUCGGAUGUGAAAUCCCCAAGCUUAACUUGGGAACUGCAUCCGAUACUGGAUGGCUUGAAUCCGGGAGAGGGAUGCAGAAUUCCAGGUGUAGCGGUGAAAUGCGUAGAUAUCUGGAGGAAUACCGGUGGCGAAGGCGGCAUCCUGGACCGGCAUUGACGCUGAGGAGCGAAAGCUAGGGGAGCAAACGGG
RNAcentral lists this ribosomal RNA (253 nucleotides) under uncultured bacterium. RNAcentral's name for it is "partial 16S ribosomal RNA". It matches the Rfam family "Bacterial small subunit ribosomal RNA", at positions 524 to 776 of the family's 1533-position model. The record is from RNAcentral.